GAAAUGCUGCCUGUCUGGAACGUGACAUUCAACAGUAUGGCUCUAUUAAAGGGAAUCUUUCCAGAGCACUUCCCACUUCCACCACUCAAGUAGCUGAACAAUCUCCAGGUAGAUAUUGUUCUGUCAUCGUGUCCUGAAAUGACUCAGAUAUGCAAAACAGAUGAUGGAGAUGACAGAGAGGAAAGAUACUGCUAGAGAGUUGCACAAAUGCCUGAAGGCAUAUUAAUCUCAAAUUAAUCUGAAGAACAUUAAAAUUAAUCUCAACAUCUAAUGAAGCUUUCGGUCUUUGGGAUGGAACAUUGCAGCAGGGUCACCAUACUUCAAGAAGUACAUAGAAAUGGAGAAGGUGCAGAAGAGGGCAACCAAAAUGAAAAGGGGGCUAGAGAACCUUCCUUAUGAGUGAGGACUCAAAACAGUCCCUGCCAACUCUUGAAAAUCCAAAAGAAGUGGCAAGGUGACACACCUAGCUGUCUGCAGGAAGGAAACCUGCCAGAGUUAUCCUGGCUCUCUGGGCAUCCUGCAUGAGAGGAAAAGGCAGUAAACAGGACUCUGGAGAGCCAGCAAGAGGCUGCUUGGAAGAAGUUACAAGCUGCGGUUUCAUGUAGAUGUUAAACAACAUGGGAGACAGUACAGAGCCCUGAGGGACACCAUACUGAAGUUCAGAUUUUGAAGAUCAACAGUCCACGAGAGACACCAUCUGGAAUCUGCUCAAGAGGAAGCAUCCUUCUCCUCCUCCCUGAAAAUUCAAAAGUCGAAAGCCUUGCGUAUCGCUUGGCAUCUGUACAACAAAGACUUGCAAAGUGCUAAUGGUGUGUGUUGUGCUGCAUAAAUCUUUGCCUGCAAAUGCUAUACAAAGCAGAACUGAAAAGUGUAAAAACAGCAAAAAUAUGAAAACUGUAAAGAUAUUUAAUGUGCAAAAAGAACCAACUAAUGUGUGUGCGAGCUCAGCCAGUUGCCUGAGGGUAAAUGUCUUGAUGGGGUGGUGAUUCAGCUGUCAAGGUGCCUGAGUGGACUUGUGGUCAUCAUAAUGAUUGGCUAUGGACUGGAUUUUUCUCUUUCCAAGAAGGCUAUAAACAGAAAAGGUCAAAUUUAUUCAAAUGAAUCAACUGCACAUUUUGGGGGAAAUGCAGGCAGGCUUGUUAACCCGAUUCACAUCUUUUGUGUCAGGUCCCUAACAUACCAUACAUCUGGAAAAAUGCAGUGAUUUGUAAAAGACAUAAUGUGCUGUUUCUCCAAAGGUCUUGUUUACAGUCUGUAAUAAAGUCUGAUGCACUUUUUAA
Long non-coding RNA from Hemicordylus capensis (graceful crag lizard), 1280 nucleotides. RefSeq lists it as uncharacterized. The record is from RefSeq and is a predicted model, not a curated record. The transcript has 6 exons. NCBI's taxonomy places the organism in Eukaryota, Metazoa, Chordata, Lepidosauria, Squamata, Cordylidae.